GUGAGGUAAUGGCUCACCAAGGCAUCGACGGGUAGCUGGUCUGAGAGGAUGAUCAGCCACACUGGGACUGAGACACGGCCCAGACUCCUACGGGAGGCAGCAGUGGGGAAUCUUGCACAAUGGGCGCAAGCCUGAUGCAGCAACGCCGCGUGCGGGAAGAAGGCCUUAGGGUUGUAAACCGCUUUCGGUAGGGAAGAAAAUGACGGUACCUACAGAAGAAGGUGCGGCCAACUACGUGCCAGCAGCCGCGGUAACACGUAGGCACCAAGCGUUAUCCGGAUUUAUUGGGCGUAAAGAGCUCGUAGGCGGUUCAGUCAGUCGGGUGUGAAAACUUGAGGCUUAACCUCAAGAGGUCACUCGAUACUACUGUGACUAGAGUGCGGUAGGGGAGCGGGGAAUUCCUGGUGUAGCGGUGAAAUGCGCAGAUAUCAGGAGGAACACCAGUGGCGAAGGCGCCGCUCUGGCCGUAACUGACGCUGAGGAGCGAAAGCAUGGGUAGCGAACAGGAUUAGAUACCCUGGUAGUCCAUGCCGUAAACGUUGGGCACUAGGUGUGGGUCUCAACCAACGAGAUCCGCGCCGUCGCUAACGCAUUAAGUG
This 599-nucleotide ribosomal RNA is filed under the name uncultured Actinomycetes bacterium. RNAcentral describes it as "bacterial SSU rRNA". It matches the Rfam family "Bacterial small subunit ribosomal RNA", at positions 252 to 866 of the family's 1533-position model. The record is from RNAcentral. Lineage: Bacteria; Bacillati; Actinomycetota; Actinomycetes.